GACGAACGCUGGCGGCGUGCUUAACACAUGCAAGUCGAACGGUGAAGCGCCUUCCUUUUUGGUGGGUGUGGAUGAGUGGCGAACGGGUGAGUAACACGUGAGUAACCUGCCCCCUUCUUCUGGAUAACCGCAUGAAAGUGUGGCUAAUACGGGAUAUUCUGGGUCUGUCGCAUGAUGGGUCUGGGAAAGAUAUUGUUUCGGUGGGGGAUGGCUCGCGGCCUAUCAGCUUGUUGGUGGGGUGAUGGCCUACCAAGGCGGUGACGGGUAGCCGGCCUGAGAGGGUGGACGGUCACACUGGGACUGAGACACGGCCCAGACUCCUACGGGAGGCAGCAGUGGGGAAUAUUGCACAAUGGGCGCAAGCCUGAUGCAGCGACGCCGCGUGAGGAAUGGAGGCCUUCGGGUUGUGAACCUCUUUCGCCAGUGAAGCAGGCCUGCCUCGUUUGUGGGUGGGUUGACGGUAGCUGGAGAAGAAGCGCCGGCUAACUACGUG
RNAcentral lists this ribosomal RNA (493 nucleotides) under uncultured bacterium. RNAcentral describes it as "partial 16S ribosomal RNA". It matches the Rfam family "Bacterial small subunit ribosomal RNA", at positions 28 to 507 of the family's 1533-position model. The record is from RNAcentral.